AGAGUUUGAUCAUGGCUCAGAUUGAACGCUGGCGGCAGGCCUAACACAUGCAAGUCGAGCGGUAGCACAGAGAGCUUGCUCUCGGGUGACGAGCGGCGGACGGGUGAGUAAUGUCUGGGAAACUGCCUGAUGGAGGGGGAUAACUACUGGAAACGGUAGCUAAUACCGCAUAAUGUCGCAAGACCAAAGUGGGGGACCUUCGGGCCUCAUGCCAUCAGAUGUGCCCAGAUGGGAUUAGCUAGUAGGUGGGGUAAUGGCUCACCUAGGCGACGAUCCCUAGCUGGUCUGAGAGGAUGACCAGCCACACUGGAACUGAGACACGGUCCAGACUCCUACGGGAGGCAGCAGUGGGGAAUAUUGCACAAUGGGCGCAAGCCUGAUGCAGCCAUGCCGCGUGUGUGAAGAAGGCCUUCGGGUUGUAAAGCACUUUCAGCGGGGAGGAAGGCGGUGAGGUUAAUAACCUCAUCGAUUGACGUUACCCGCAGAAGAAGCACCGGCUAACUCCGUGCCAGCAGCCGCGGUAAUACGGAGGGUGCAAGCGUUAAUCGGAAUUACUGGGCGUAAAGCGCACGCAGGCGGUCUGUCAAGUCGGAUGUGAAAUCCCCGGGCUCAACCUGGGAACUGCAUUCGAAACUGGCAGGCUAGAGUCUUGUAGAGGGGGGUAGAAUUCCAGGUGUAGCGGUGAAAUGCGUAGAGAUCUGGAGGAAUACCGGUGGCGAAGGCGGCCCCCUGGACAAAGACUGACGCUCAGGUGCGAAAGCGUGGGGAGCAAACAGGAUUAGAUACCCUGGUAGUCCACGCCGUAAACGAUGUCGAUUUGGAGGUUGUGCCCUUGAGGCGUGGCUUCCGGAGCUAACGCGUUAAAUCGACCGCCUGGGGAGUACGGCCGCAAGGUUAAAACUCAAAUGAAUUGACGGGGGCCCGCACAAGCGGUGGAGCAUGUGGUUUAAUUCGAUGCAACGCGAAGAACCUUACCUGGUCUUGACAUCCACAGAACUUUCCAGAGAUGGAUUGGUGCCUUCGGGAACUGUGAGACAGGUGCUGCAUGGCUGUCGUCAGCUCGUGUUGUGAAAUGUUGGGUUAAGUCCCGCAACGAGCGCAACCCUUAUCCUUUGUUGCCAGCGGUUCGGCCGGGAACUCAAAGGAGACUGCCAGUGAUAAACUGGAGGAAGGUGGGGAUGACGUCAAGUCAUCAUGGCCCUUACGACCAGGGCUACACACGUGCUACAAUGGCAUAUACAAAGAGAAGCGACCUCGCGAGAGCAAGCGGACCUCAUAAAGUAUGUCGUAGUCCGGAUUGGAGUCUGCAACUCGACUCCAUGAAGUCGGAAUCGCUAGUAAUCGUAGAUCAGAAUGCUACGGUGAAUACGUUCCCGGGCCUUGUACACACCGCCCGUCACACCAUGGGAGUGGGUUGCAAAAGAAGUAGGUAGCUUAACCUUCGGGAGGGCGCUUACCACUUUGUGAUUCAUGACUGGGGUGAAGUCGUAACAAGGUAACCGUAGGGGAACCUGCGGUUGGAUCACCU
This 1528-nucleotide ribosomal RNA is filed under the name Klebsiella pneumoniae. RNAcentral's name for it is "bacterial SSU rRNA". It matches the Rfam family "Bacterial small subunit ribosomal RNA". The record is from RNAcentral. Lineage: Bacteria; Pseudomonadati; Pseudomonadota; Gammaproteobacteria; Enterobacterales; Enterobacteriaceae. RNAcentral also lists the same sequence under 1 other name.